GAUGAACGCUGGCGGCGUGCCUAAUACAUGCAAGUCGAGCGAACAGAUGAGGAGCUUGCUCCUCUGACGUUAGCGGCGGACGGGUGAGUAACACGUGGAUAACCUACCUAUAAGACUGGGAUAACUUCGGGAAACCGGAGCUAAUACCGGAUAAUAUAUUGAACCGCAUGGUUCAAUAGUGAAAGACGGUUUUGCUGUCACUUAUAGAUGGAUCCGCGCCGCAUUAGAUAGUUGGUAAGGUAACGGCUUACCAAGGCAACGAUGCGUAGCCGACCUGAGAGGAUGAUCGGCAACACUGGAACUGAGACACGGGCGAGAGUACGACGGGAGGCAGCAGGGGGGAAGAGUGGGAAAUGGGAGAAAGCAUGAUGGAGCAAUGACGCGUGAGUGAAGAAGGUCUUAGGGUUGUAAAGCUCUUUUAUUGGGAAAGAAAAGAAGGAGGUGAAUACCUGGAUGUUAUGACGGUAACCAAAGAAUAAGCAACGGCUAACUUCGUG
This 497-nucleotide ribosomal RNA is filed under the name uncultured bacterium. Its description in RNAcentral is "partial 16S ribosomal RNA". It matches the Rfam family "Bacterial small subunit ribosomal RNA", at positions 28 to 507 of the family's 1533-position model. The record is from RNAcentral.